RNAcentral lists this long non-coding RNA (4165 nucleotides) under Homo sapiens (human). RNAcentral describes it as "HSALNT0390222". The record is from RNAcentral. Lineage: Eukaryota; Metazoa; Chordata; Mammalia; Primates; Hominidae.
CUUAUCUCUUAUAAAAUCAUACAGGAAACAUUAUCAAACAUAAAAUGAUGUUUGACUUUCUUUAUUCUAAAAACUAAUAAAAAUAGGUGCUAAAAAUUUUCCAAAUGAAAAUAAAUAUUGCUAAACCAAAGAGAAAUGUUAUCUAAGCCCCGUAUAAAAAAUAAAUAAAUCUUGUUCCAAUUGCAUCAAAAAACCCAUUAAGGGCCCUCCAGCACAGGGUUAAUACCAACGAGUUUCCACCUCCAGCUGCUCCUAGAGUGGCCACAGCAUGAGCCAUCUGGUGGGGGACCUAGCCGCCAACAGACACUUCCUGUACAGGGGAGGGGGGAGGGGGCCAGGCAGCCGUUAGACAGCACAACCGAACCCAACACCGGGGCCCAACGGCAGGGGCUUGGGCAGGAGCAAGGUCCGAGGGCUGCCAGGUCCACGCUGCUUUUAUGAGCUGUAACACUCACCGCGAAGAUCUGCAGCUUCACUCCUGAGCCCAGCGAGACCACGAGCCCACCGGGAGGAACAAACAACUCCAGACGCGCUGCCUUAAGAGCUGUAACACUUGCCGUGAAGGUCUGCAGCUUCACUCCUGAGCCAGCGAGACCACGAACCCACCAGAAGGAAGAAACUCCGAACACAUCUCAACAUCAGAACGGACAGACUCCAGACGCACCACCUUAAGAGCUGUAACACUCACCGCGAGGUUCCGCGGCUUCAUUCUUGAAGUCAGUAAGACCAAGAACCCACCAAUUCCGGACACAGUAGCAUUUGGGAAUAAUAAGAAUUGUAGCUGGGCAUGGUGGUACACGCCUGUAGACCCCUAGCAGCUGCCAUCAUCCUCACCAUCCGCAUAUUAUUGAUAUAUUAACUCUUUGAUGGCAACCAUAGCUUAUCCCCCUUAUCUCCCUAUGCCCUACAGCAGGGCAGUGGAAUGGUUAAGAGGCUUUGAAGUCUAAGAGUGCUGGCUUAAAACCCUAAUUUGUCAUUUUGGAUGUGUGGCUUUGGACACUUGGGGCAGGUCACCUAUGUUCUUCAAGCCCUGUAUCCUUAUCUGUCAGAUGAUGAUUUUUUUUUUUUUAGACGAAGUCUCACUCUCUUGCCCGGGCUGGAGUGCAGUGGCAUGAUCUCGGCUUACUGCAAGCUCCACCUCCCGGGUUGACGCCAUUCUCCUGCCUCAGCUUCCUGAGUAGCUGGGACUACAGGCUCCUGCCACCACCCGUGGCUAAUUUUUUUGUAUUUUUAGUAGAGACAGGGUUUCACCAUGUUAGCCAGGAUGGUCUCGAUCUCCUGACCUCGUGAUCUGCCCGCCCCAGCCUCCCAAAGUAUCAGAUGAUUUUAACAACUAUGCUUCCAUGACUUGCUGGGCUAGAUGAUAUGACUGUAAAAUGCCUAACCCAUGGUUUAGCAUCAAGUAAGCAAAUUGUAAAUGGUAGCACUGCUCUGCCUAUGACUAUUUAGUCUUGUGCUUUAAACUCAAAUAUUUGUUGGCCUACUGAAGUCACCACACAGAGAAAGAUGCUUUUCAUUCUCAGUAAAGAACUUUGGGAGAUAACUGGGGCAGGCAGCAAGAGAACAGAUGUCAUAUGUCUAGCAUCAGCAAACUCAUCAGAACUGAUGGGCAGCUCACUUUGCUUAGAACCUGCACCAGCAUACACACGGGGCUGCUUCCCAGUCACACUGCUCCUGGGAAGGUAGGGGGGCUGCUGUUCUGCAAUUAGCGCGGUUCUUUACCUCCUAUUACCGAACUGCCAGAGUUCAUUUGUGUUCAGUUAGGUAGAUGACCAAUUCUUGUUCAUUCCUAUUUUCUUUUGCUCACUAAUGUGUUUAACGUUCACUAACCUACCAAAUGUGAUUUAUUAGCGACUUUUUCUUUGAAGAUGGAGUGGAGGAAUCCUAGCGCUUUCUGCAACAUGCUACUGCUGUUAUGGAACAGUGCAGAUAUGGAAGUGCAUCAGCCGGGGAUGGGGAGAGGCUAGGGCAGUACAUGUGAAUGGAGAGGUAGCCCCACCAGUGUGUUUUCUGAAAUACAGUCCCGCAGAGGGCAGUCUUGGGAAAUUACUGUUCUCACACACUCUUCUUGACCCUACCCCUCCAGCACCUCCCUUGCUAUCCAAGGGUUGGGAUUUUUAAAAAGAAAAACAAAUUUUAAAAAAAGCAGUGUGAAUCUUUUGCCAUCUUGUAAGGGUGAAAAGCCCCCUACCAAGUCGGGAUGAACAUUCAUGCGUGUGCUUGAGGGCUUGGGAAAAAGACAGGGCUUGGCCCCACAGUGCAGGUAGGCCCAGUGAUCCUAUAAUAGGGGCCAGGAGAUGGGAGGUCCCCUGUGGGCAGGAGUUCAAGUAUGUGGUAUUAUAUGACUGGUGCUUGAUGAACCCAGGGAGAGGGCACCAAAAACAAUGGUAUUUAAUUGUAAAAUCUCCACCCCCUGAGGAUAUGUUUUCAGGUCUGGGUGACUAAUUAGACUGGGAAACAAGGGCAGGAACGAUGGCCCUGUGCUUGCUCUGCCCGCUGCCUCUGUGGAUGUGUGGGCUGCUGGCUUCAGUCCUGCUUUUCUUUCUGAUGGUAUUGUUUAUGCUAUGUGUUUUUGCAGGAGGCCUGAGGUGGGCUGGGUUCUCCUCCUAUGGCAGGGCUUCACUCUCCUCCUCCUUCUCUGUUGGGGCUUCACUGUCCCUGGGAUAAGAAUAACAAUGCCAAGGUUUUCAUUCUUGAAAGGAGCAAUUAAGCGUCUCACCCCCUCCUCAUUUUAGAUGGGAACUGUGAGGGUCCCGUCAUUUACCCAGGGUCCCUGUUGAGGAUCUUGUCCUCAUUAGAUGACUUCUUGUGCAGCUUCCAUGCGUGAUUCUUUACUCUUGUGGCACUGAGAGGUUUGUACAUGUCUUUAAGCCAGAGCGGCUUUCUGAAUGAAAAAAGUCCAUCCUAGAAGAUAGAAAGGGAAAUAUUAAUUUUGCAUGUCCUCUGCUUUCCCUGGUCACAGCAAUGAAUCCUCCAAUGUACCUGACUCUCCCUUUGCGAAGAGCAUCUCCGUGGCAGAAAUCUGAAAAUGCCCCUGGGGAGACACAUGCACAAGACAGUUCGUGAGCCACACAUCUCCCCACACCAAGCUCCUCCAUACAAGACCUCGGACUGCAUCACGUAAAUGCUUUUUCAGGGGCAAAAUCUAGAGAAUCUGAAACGAGCUAUCAGCUUCCCAGUUUGCACAAUUCAUCAAGAAAUUAUGCGGGGUCACUGGCACAAAUGAUGAGGCAUCUCCUGGAAGCUUAACUUCUUAUCCAUCCCAUCUCUUGGACAGAUGAUGCCAGUUAAUUACUUUGAAUCCAAAAGAGACCUGCCAGCUACAGUCAGCAUCGGUCAACCAUCUGUGAAACUGUGAGCUGACAACUUGUCCCCUCCCGGCGAAGGCCACAACAUCCCAACACCAUUAGUCACCAAGGAAGUCUGGGAGAAGUUUCUACCAACUGUAGCGAAAAAGAGAAGACUCACUGGUGGCACCUGCAGCUGCGGCGUUUUCCCCAAGGGGUCUGUCACACGCAGCCCAACUCAACUGGAGUCCUGAGAAGGUGAACAGACCAGGAUGGAUGGCCAGGGAACUCACCAGAAGUCCCCAGGCAUCAGAACAAGGUCGAAGCAUCCUGAUUAGGGUACCAGAGGCCCAGGCAGUACUUUUGGGGUAGACGAGGUACAGACCUUUGGCUCCUCACUGUCUUCAAGCCCACAAGAAGCAUAGAGCAGAAGAAGACAGAGGAGGGCCCAUCUGGCCCACUACCUGUUCUUGUAAAUAAAGCUUUAUUGAAGCCAGGUGCUCACCUUCUAGCACAUUCUUCAAGAGUUACUCUGAGGCAAGCCAGCCGCCAUGUCAUGAGGACACUCAAGCAGCACCAUGGAGAGGUCCGAUGGCGAGGAACAGAGGAUCCCCCUGCCGACAGCCAAUGAGGAACAGGCCUCCUGCCAACAGCCGUGUAAGGGGUCACCUUGGAAGCCAAUGGCCCCUCCCUGGUCAGGCUUUUACAUGACUGCAGUCCUGGCCAACAUCCUGACGGCAACCUCAUGAGAGACCUUGAGCCAGAGCCACCCACCUAAGCUGCUUAUAGGUUCCUGGCCCUCAGAAAUCACAUGAGAUCAUAAAUGUUUGCUCAAUUUGAGAUAUUUGUGAUGUAGCAAUAAAUAACAAACACACUUA